This 127-nucleotide non-coding RNA is filed under the name unclassified sequences. Its description in RNAcentral is "Betaproteobacteria-1 RNA". It matches the Rfam family "Betaproteobacteria-1 RNA". The record is from Rfam by way of RNAcentral.
CCUUAGAUUGGCGGCUCUAACGACAUCGUGGCGGUCUAAGGUAGUAGCGUUACCAGAAGGGUAAGAGGCUGAAAUAGCGCAAUACAGGUGGCGAAGAUAGUGCCUGUGCCUCGCAAGACUGUCGGGU